AUGCCUUACACAUGCAAGUCGAACGGUAACAGGGAGCUUGCUCCGCUGACGAGUGGCGGAACGGGUGAGUAAAGUAUCGGAACGUACCUUCAGUGGGGAUAACGUAGCGAAAGUUACGCUAAUACCGCAUACGAUCUACGGAUGAAAGCGGGGGGAUCGCAAGACCUCGCGCGAUUGGAGCGGCCGAUAUCAGAUUAGGUAGUUGGUGGGGUAAAGGCUCACCAAGCCAACGAUCUGUAGCUGGUCUGAGAGGACGACCAGCCACACUGGAACUGAGACACGGACCCGACUCCUACGGGAGGCAGCAGUAAGGAAUAUUGGACAAUGGUCGAAAGACUGAUCCAGCCAUCCCGCGUGCAGGAUGACUGCCCUAUGGGUUGUAAACUGCUUUUAUAUGGGAAGAAUAGCAUAGAUUCAUCUGUGUAUGACGGUACCAUAUGAAUAAGCACCGGCUAACUCCGUG
This 463-nucleotide ribosomal RNA is filed under the name uncultured bacterium. Its description in RNAcentral is "bacterial SSU rRNA". It matches the Rfam family "Bacterial small subunit ribosomal RNA", at positions 44 to 507 of the family's 1533-position model. The record is from RNAcentral.